Molecule: ribosomal RNA, 253 nt
Filed under: uncultured bacterium
Lineage: Bacteria
Description: partial 16S ribosomal RNA
Rfam family: Bacterial small subunit ribosomal RNA
Source: RNAcentral
UACGUAGGGGGCUAGCGUUGUCCGGAUUUAUUGGGCGUAAAGAGCUCGUAGGUGGUUCGGUAAGUCGGAUGUGAAAUCUCCAGGCUCAACCUGGAGGGGUCAUUCGAUACGGGCAGACUAGAGUUCGGUAGGGGAGUCUGGAAUUCCUGGUGUAGCGGUGAAAUGCGCAGAUAUCAGGAGGAACACCGGUGGCGAAGGCGGGACUCUGGGCCGAUACUGACGCUGAGGAGCGAAAGCGUGGGGAGCAAACAGG